This 813-nucleotide unclassified non-coding RNA is filed under the name Leishmania donovani. RNAcentral's name for it is "gene:LdHU3.33.2800(CDS-product:Der1-like_family_p utative)". The record is from RNAcentral. Lineage: Eukaryota; Euglenozoa; Kinetoplastea; Trypanosomatida; Trypanosomatidae.
GUUCUGGAGCCACGCCACACCCCCAGUGGAGGCAUCGAGGACGCUUAGAAAACCGUGAAGGUGACAUCCUUAUACACAGGCACGGCACGGAUCAUCGCCGAAUGAACAACGUUAUUGAAAAUGCCCUGCGGGAGACACCCAUCACACUCGUGGUCUGCGGGCUGAUGGGGAUGCUAGGCGUUAUGUCAUCAUUGGAGGUGAUUCAUCCUCUCUACUUGCUGCUUAGCCCGUCGUUGGUGCUCAAAGAGCAUCAGUACUGGCGCUUGGUCACAAACUUCCUCUACUUUGGUCCAAUCAGCGCUCACUGCAUCAUGGAAAUUCAGUGGAUCUACCUGGUGAGCUCUUACCUUGAAUCGCAGUAUUACCACAGGCGACCGCUUGACUACAUCUUCCUACUCUUGAUCAUCGGCUGCUCGCUUUUGGGCCUGCGGUUUUCGUCGAUUGUGAAUGUGCCAUACCUAAGCUACAUGCUAGGCACGUGCCUGACAUACAUUAUGAGUCGUCUGUUCAACGACAUGGAAGUUGCCAUCUUUUUCGUGGUUCCGGUUCCAAUGCGCCUUCUCCCGUUUGUGCUUCUGAUCAUGAACACAAUGGUAUCUGGAAUGACGAACGAGGUCCUGGGCAAUGUUCUCGGGCACAUCUUAUGGUAUUUUUUAGAGGUGUUUCCCCGCAUCACCGGGCAGAGCCCUCUUCGAAUCCAGCGUGUGUUCGAGCGGGCAUUUGCUGCACCGGUACGUCAGGCGACAUAGUUUGGUCAUGGGCUCAGACAACAACAAAAGUAGUAAAUCACUGGGCUCCUCUCCCUCAGUUUUG